This 380-nucleotide ribosomal RNA is filed under the name Taenia saginata (beef tapeworm). RNAcentral describes it as "LSU rRNA". It matches the Rfam family "Bacterial large subunit ribosomal RNA", at positions 1952 to 2626 of the family's 2925-position model. The record is from RNAcentral. Lineage: Eukaryota; Metazoa; Platyhelminthes; Cestoda; Cyclophyllidea; Taeniidae.
AAAGGUAGCAUAAUUAAUUGCCUUUUAAUUGAGGGCUUGUUUGAAUGGUUUGACGUGAGAGAUGUGAAUAUUUGGUAUUAUUAUGAAUUUGAUGUUGGGAAUACAGAAUUUCCAUAGUUUAAUAAGACGGAAAGACCCUGGGAUCUUCUUUUUUUGCUUGGGGCAAGUUUUAGUGUUUUACUAUAAUUAAGACCCUAGGGAUAGUUUAGUGGAUUAAGUUACCCCAGGGAUAACAGUGUGAUAAUUAAUAAGAGAUCUUAUCGAAUUAAUUGUUUGCCACCUCGAUGUUGACUUAGAUUAAAGCUUGGGUGCAGUAGUCUGAGUUUUUGGUCUGUUCGACCUUGUUUAUCUUCAUGAGUCGAGUUAAGACCGGCGUGAGC